This 809-nucleotide long non-coding RNA is filed under the name Androctonus crassicauda. Lineage: Eukaryota; Metazoa; Arthropoda; Arachnida; Scorpiones; Buthidae. The record is from RNAcentral.
UAAUUAAAAUAUGUGAUAAAGAACAAAAUAUAAUUAAAAUGGCUAAAACAGCACAUAAGAAAUAUACAAAUGCUGUAUAAUGUAGAUAUUUAAUAUAAUGAUCCUUGUUUUAAGUAAAUUUGAUGUUUUAUAUUUCUGAAUAUGUAAUAUAUAAAGCAUUUUUACAUUUCAACAUAUAGGUUUAUCAAUUUACAGUAAAAUAAAUUAAUACACACAUUUUCAUUUUUGAAAUAUGUAUUAUCUCCUGAUGUAUAUACGAUGCGUAUAAAAAAUCGCAUAAAUUUCAAAUAUUUCAAAUUAACAAUAGUUGUUUAAAAAUUUUCAUGCUAAUUGAUAUUCAUCUAUUAACAUUUACCACCUUCAAAUGAUUUUAUCUUUAUAUUAAGCAAUAUAAUUUAUAACUGUAUUUUUAUAAAACAUCUGUUAUGAAGGAUGCUGGAAAAGAAUGAAAAUAGAGGCCAAGAAGGAAGCAGAGAGUAGACGGCGUUCUGUUAAUUUGACUGGAGGUGGAACUCCACCAGCAUCUCUCAUUAAUUCAACAGAAACUGUCCUGGAUCUCCUUGGCAACUCAAUACAGCCAUUGGAAAAUGCAGAUGAUCCACCAUCACCAUUAAAGAAUAUAGCUGAAGUUAAUGCUGAUUUGAAUACAUCUGUUUGUAGCAAUCUAGAAACACCGAAUAUCAACAAGCUUAUGUAUUCAAUUCAGAAAUGUCUUCAGAUGCACUUUUGAUUGAUGGUGAUAAUGAUCGGGCUAGAUUAAAUGAACAGUUGCCUAAUCAACAACAAAAAAGAAGCAAAAAAAAAAAAAA